This 1471-nucleotide ribosomal RNA is filed under the name uncultured Bordetella sp. RNAcentral's name for it is "partial 16S-23S ribosomal RNA intergenic spacer". It matches the Rfam family "Bacterial small subunit ribosomal RNA". The record is from RNAcentral. Lineage: Bacteria; Pseudomonadati; Pseudomonadota; Betaproteobacteria; Burkholderiales; Alcaligenaceae.
UUCGAUUAUAGCUCAGAUUGAACGCUGGCAGGAUCGCUACACACAGUCGAACGGCAGCACGGACUUCAGUCUGGUGGCGGGGAAGUGGCGACGGUGAGUAAUGUAUCGGAACGUGCCUAGUAGCGGGGGAUAACUUCGCGAAAGCGUAGCUAAUACCGCAUACGCCCUUCUGGGGAAAGCGGGGGACCUUCGGGCCUCGCACUAUUAAACGGCCGAUAUCGGAUUAGCUAGUUGGUGGGGUAACGGCUCGCAGGCGACGAUCCGUAGCUGGUUUGAAGGACAAACCAUCCCGCUGCCUGGGACUGGGGAACACGGCCCAGACUCCUACGGGAGGCAGCAGUGGGGGAAUUUUAGCGGACGAUGGGGGAAACCUGAUCCAGCCCAUCCCGCGUGUGCGAUGAAGGCCUUCGGGUUGUAAAGCACUUUUGGCAGGAAAGAAACGGCACGGGAUAAUACCCCGUGCAACUGACGAUACCUGCAGAAUAAGCACCCAUUGCUACGUGCCAGCAGCCGCGGUAAUACGGUGCAAGCGUUAAUCAGAUGCGAAUAAAGCGUGCAGGCGGUUCGGAAAAGAAAGAUGUGAAAUCCCAGAGCUUAACUUUGGAACUGCAUUUUUUGCUACCGAGCUGAGUGUGUCAGAGGGAGGUGGAAUUCCACGUGUAGCAGUAGAGAAGUACGUAGAUAUGCGGAGGAACACCGAUGGCGAAGGCAGCCUCCUGGGAUAACACUGACGCUCAUGCGAAAGCGUGGGGAGCAAACAGGAUUAGAUACCCUGUUGAUCCACGCCCUAAACGAUGUCAACUAGCUAUUUGGGGCCUUCGGGCUUGGUAGCGCAGCUAACGCGUGAAGGUUGACCGCCUGGGAAAUACGGUCGCAAGAUUAAAACUCAAAGGAAUUGACGGGGACCCGCACAAGCGGUGGAUGAUGUGGAUUAAUUCGAUGCAACAUGAAAACCUUACCUACCCUUGACAUGUCUGGAAUCCCGAAGAGAUUUGGGGUGCUCGCAAGAGAACCGGAACACAGGUGCUGCAUGGCUGUCGUCAGCCGUGUCGUGAAUGUUGGGUUCAGUCCCAUAGUAAACGCAAACCCUUGUCAUUAGUUGCUACGAAGGGGCAUCGCUCUGGCCAGAACCGCAUUGACCGAACCGGAAGGAGUCAGGGAUGACGUCAAGUCCUCAUGGCCCCUUAUGGGUAGAGACUUCACGUCAUACAAUGGUCGGGACAGAGAUUCGCCAACCCCGCGAGGAGCCAAUCCAGGAAACCCGAUCGUAGUCGGGAUCAUGAUCUGCAACUCAGCUGCGUAAGUCGAUCCGCUGGUAAUCGCGGAUCAGCAUGUCGCGGUGAAUACGUUCCCGGGUCUUGUACACACCGCCGUCCACCAUGGGAGUGGGUUUUACCAGAAGUAGUUAGCCUAACCGUAAGGGAGGGCGAUUACACGAUGGAUUGCAGCUGGGGUGAAGUCGUUGGGCAAG